GUAGGUGAACCUGCGGAAGGAUCAUUAACACGUGAAAACGUAUUAACCAAUCAACCUUUCAACAACCUGUGAAUCGCACCCCUACCUAAUUCAACGAUGUUGUCCGUAUAUGAUAUGUAGUAGGAUAGAGCUUGCUCUAUGCAAUCGUAUCGGUACUAAGGUUUCGAACCUAAGGCACGCUGAAUCAGGCUUUACUUUUUUCGCCUACUACAAAAAAAUAAACAAACCUUUUUCACCCCAUUAAAAACGAAUUUUGACUGAUGUAUGUUGAUAGCAGAAAUGCUUGAUCAACACCAUUUAUUCUAAACUAAGCACAACUCUUAGCAAUGGAUAUCUUGGUUCUC
Molecule: unclassified non-coding RNA, 344 nt
Filed under: rhizosphere metagenome
Description: partial ribosomal RNA internal transcribed spacer region
Source: RNAcentral